ACCUGGGUGGCUCAGUUGGUUAAGUGCCUGACUUCAGCUCAGGUCAUGAUCUCAUGCCUCGUGGGUUCGAGCCCCACGUCGGGCU
Molecule: transfer RNA, 85 nt
Filed under: Felis catus (domestic cat)
Lineage: Eukaryota; Metazoa; Chordata; Mammalia; Carnivora; Felidae
Rfam family: tRNA
About the family: Transfer RNA (tRNA) molecules are approximately 80 nucleotides in length. Their secondary structure includes four short double-helical elements and three loops (D, anti-codon, and T loops). Further hydrogen bonds mediate the characteristic L-shaped molecular structure. tRNAs have two regions of fundamental functional importance: the anti-codon, which is responsible for specific mRNA codon recognition, and the 3' end, to which the tRNAs corresponding amino acid is attached (by aminoacyl-tRNA synthetases). tRNAs cope with the degeneracy of the genetic code in two manners: having more than one tRNA (with a specific anti-codon) for a particular amino acid; and 'wobble' base-pairing, i.e. permitting non-standard base-pairing at the 3rd anti-codon position.
Source: Rfam by way of RNAcentral